GACGAACGCUGGCGGCGUGCCUAAUACAUGCAAGUCGAGCGGACUUUCAAGAAGCUUGCUUUUUGAAAGUUAGCGGCGGACGGGUGAGUAACACGUGGGCAACCUGCCUGCAAGACGGGGAUAACUCCGGGAAACCGGGGCUAAUACCGGAUAAUAUCUUCCUUCGCAUGAAGGAAGGUUGAAAGGCGGCGCAAGCUGCCGCUUGCAGAUGGGCCCGCGGCGCAUUAGCUAGUUGGUGAGGUAACGGCUCACCAAGGCGACGAUGCGUAGCCGACCUGAGAGGGUGAUCGGCCACACUGGGACUGAGACACGGCCCAGACUCCUACGGGAGGCAGCAGUAGGGAAUCUUCCGCAAGGGAAGAAAGUCUGACGGAGCAACGCCGCGUGAGCGAAGAAGGUCUUCGGAUCGUAAAGCUCUGUUGUCAGGGAAGAACAAGUACCGUUCGAACAGGGCGGUACCUUGACGGUACCUGACCAGAAAGCCACGGCUAACUACGUG
RNAcentral lists this ribosomal RNA (499 nucleotides) under uncultured bacterium. Its description in RNAcentral is "partial 16S ribosomal RNA". It matches the Rfam family "Bacterial small subunit ribosomal RNA", at positions 28 to 507 of the family's 1533-position model. The record is from RNAcentral.